GACGAACGCUGGCGGCGUGCUUAACACAUGCAAGUCGAACGGAAAGGCCCUGCUUUUGUGGGGUGCUCGAUUGGCGAACGGGUGAGUAACACGUGAGUAACCUGCCCUUGACUUUGUGAUAACUUCAGGAAACUGGGGCUAAUACCGGAUAUGAUCUCCUGCUGCAUGUUGGUGGUUGGUAAGUUUCGGCGGUAGGGGAUGGACUCGCGGGUUAUCAGCUUGUUGGUGUGGUAGUUGCUUACGAAGCUUUCGACGGGUAGCCGGCCUGAGAGGGUAGACGGGGUCAUGGGUACUACGAUAGGGCGCAGAAUCCUACGGGAGGCAGCGGGGGGGAGUAUUGCAGAGUGGGGGGAAGCGUGAUGCAGCAACGCCGGGAGCGGAAUGAUGGCCUUCGGGUUGUAAACCGAUUUGGAAUGUGACGAAGAGUGAGUGACGGUAAUGGGUAAAGAAGCACCGGCUAACUACGUG
RNAcentral lists this ribosomal RNA (468 nucleotides) under uncultured bacterium. RNAcentral's name for it is "partial 16S ribosomal RNA". It matches the Rfam family "Bacterial small subunit ribosomal RNA", at positions 28 to 507 of the family's 1533-position model. The record is from RNAcentral.